This is a long non-coding RNA of Cyprinus carpio (common carp), 1014 nucleotides long. Lineage: Eukaryota; Metazoa; Chordata; Actinopteri; Cypriniformes; Cyprinidae. The record is from Ensembl.
AUGCUCGGACAUUCUAACGCAUGUGGAGACAUUAUAGCCGCAGGCGGAGGUUUUGAGGCCAUUAACGCUUUUUCAGGCCAUGUGGGAACGCUUGCCUGGCAUUCUGCAAUGGGUGUUAUGCACAAUUCGGCACGGAUACACCAUUCAGUUUCGAAAAGACCCGCCUCCUUUUCGCAGAGUUCUUCCCACAAUUGUGAGUUCAGAAGAAACUGUAUUGCUGCGCCAAAAGAUGUCAUCUCUGCUGAGAAAAGGGCAUAUAGAAGAAGUACACCCCUCUCAGAUGAAGUCAGGUUUUUACAGCCGUUAUUUUGUUGUGCCAAAAAUAGAUGGCGGUUUAUGACCAAUAUUGGAUUUAUGCCGUUUGAAUCUUGCACUCAGGACGAGCAAAUUCAAGAUGUUGACGGUAAAAUCUAUUCUGUCUCAGGAUUUAUAUUUUCAUAUUCAGAUCAACAAGAGACACAGGAAGUUCCUCAGAUUCGCUUUAGAGGGCAAAGCAUAUCAAUUCCGUGUUCUUCCCUUCGGCUUAGCCCUGGCUUCACGGACUUUCACGAAAUGCAUGGACGCAGUUCUGGCCCCGUUGCAGCUCCAGGGCGUUUGUGUGUUAAAUUACCUGGACGAUUGGCUGGUGUUAGCACAAUCACAGACUCAAGCACACUCUCAUCAAGAUCUUGUGCUGAAUCAUCUAAGCAGACUGGGCUUACGCACAAAUUUCCAAAAGAGUGUUUUGAUCCCCUCUCAGCGGAUAACCUUUUUGGGAAUAGACCUGGACUCUCGCACAAUGAUGGCAAGAUUUUCUCUCCUGCGCAUUCAGUCUUUCGUGUCAUGCCUCCGCCACUUCAGAGCAGGCCGCUCAGUGACGGUGAGUUUGUGCCUCAGACUUUUGGGUCUAAUGGCAGCAGCGUCCCCCGAAAUCCGUCUGGGCUUACUUCACAUGUGGCCAUUUCGAUGGUGGGCGAAAAGCCAAAGGAUUUCACCCCGUUGUUAUCUGAAUCGAACGAUUUCGGUGACAUGUAG